UGCCGUUCCAUACUGGUACCGUGAAUUGGCAGCUCGGAGGCCAAGCUGGUCUAAGGAGAAGACUGUCGCUUGGUGUUUCACCAUGUAUCUUGUGUCAGCGUUUCUCAUUUCUGUGACAUGGAUGGAGUGGAUGCUUCAACUCUAUGGUGCUCCCGAAAUUUCACCUCCACCCACAGUGUACCACUGGUCUCUUGGAGAUAACGGAACGGUGAAAUUGAGAGGAGAAGAUAUCUGCUCCACUGCCGAAUACAGUGGUGGUGGCAUUUUGCUCCCAACCUGCCUGCAAAAAGAUUGCAAGUGGAAAAUGGUACCUGCUCCAGAUGUUGUGGAAGAUUCCUGUGCAUUACAGAUAAGUUGUUGCAACUGUCGCCGUAGGUGUUGUUACAUCGAUAUCGGCGAUUUUAGCAACACCUGUGUGUCGGAUCCAAGCAGCUGCAUGUCAGAUGGUGUUACGUGGUCAGUCUGGCUGAAAAUAUGUGAUCAGCCACAAAUAUAUGACAGGAGACUCCCUGUUAUUCUUUCUGAACAUGAGGAAUAUGAAUACAGUUUUAUUCUGUGGUACAUGUACGAUGACCAUGUAGUAUGCUCUGUUCGAGAUAACAAUACAGAGUUAUCGGCUAGCAUCAAUGUGACCGCCAUCGUUCCCAUAUCGACUUGGUUCCAACUGGCGUGUACGUUCAAUUUCUCGAAGCUCAAUGUUGAAGCUGUUGCAGUUUAUGUCAACGGCUUACAAGUUCAAUCUCUAUCAGUGGAUCUUAACACCUUGCAUCACUAUCCUAAGUAUGGAUACUGGAUUGGGGGAAAUCAUUUACUAAUUUUGCCUUGGUAUUACUAUCAUAGUGACAUAUCGUUGUCCAUAAGCAACCUUAUUGUGGCAGAUGGAAUUAUGGGACAAGAUGACAUUCAAAACCUGUUCUCGUGUGGAUCCAUAGAUUGGAGUCUUCAACUUCGCAGUUUGGUGAGUGUCCCUAUCAAAGAUAACGCACAGAGCAUCCGCCUCAACUGCACGGCCAGUGCAGUCACCGGCCCCUCCAUAGCCUGGCGCCUCUACCAACCAAAGUGUGACCUUUGGAAAGUCUUACACGGCGGUAACGACUCUGACAGCUUGCGUAUCUAUAAUCAUAGAGUUUCGUCGUGCGUGCGGACGUCCUCUUUGACGAUUUCUUCUUACCGGGAACGAGGUUAUGCUGGCUCCGUUAUUGAAUGUUCAGCGUCUACUCGAGGGACCUCAACGACCAAGUUUACUACCUUUACCAUUGCAGAGGUUGGUGACGAAUCCCAAAUCUUCCUUGGUGAAAAUGCCACACUACAAGCUCCCCUAGAGGCAGCUGUACAGGACGAAGGCAUACCAAUUGAAAUUUUCAAGAACAUAGAUAGCAAAAACGACAUCUGUGGCGGUAGAAGAAUAUAUGCAAAGGAAGACAAAUUAUAACAAUUGCUCCUUUGAUCGUGGACGAAGGCGAGUACCAGGAAGUAACUGCUGAGGUGGACGGCCAAGUGUAUGUAGCAAAUAUCCCCGGUCUCCAAACAGCAGAGAAUGUCACCUUAAUUGUGGUAGUGACGGUGUUUAAAUUGCCGAACAACGAUUCGCAGUUGAAUGUCAGUAGCCCGUCUGAUCAACCGAUUCGAUUUGGAAGUCUGGUUGUUGGUUUAGAUAUAAUCGACAUACAGGGAAAUGUGUUCACAGAAUAUGAAGAUGAGCCUGUCAAACUUACAUUUCCUGUUUUAGAGAUUCAAGACAUGGAAAUUCCUAUUUGCUCUUUUCGGUCCGACGAAGACGAGUAAGAUAUGUUACUAUUUUAUUUAAAGCAUUAUUUAAAACGUGGGAGAAUGGCUAAUUGUAUGCAAUGAUUCCGUCGAUGUUUUCUCUUUGUGUUCGACAAAGGUGACUGAUUCCUUGCUGAUUAUGCUGAGUUUGUCAGGAGUCGUCAUUAUAACACAUUUGAAUGUACUUUCUACCAUAGAGGAAGGACACAGAAGGAGCUACAUCUCGGGCACGUCAAAGUGCUCGACGAUCAUCGUCGCCUAGUCAGACGAACAAUAGUAAACAUUCCAAAGCCGGGCAAGUUGGGCCAGUAAUAUCCUAAUAACAUUUGUGGAGUUUUCUAUGCAAUUAACUGCAACUUGUCGCAGUUGCCGGAAAUAGAAAUAAUAUAUAUUUAAAAAAAAAAAGAUUUUGAUGCACUUUUCCGUUAUCCAUGCAACGCUUGUAAUUUAUUUCUGUCACUCCAAAACAUCAGUUUUCAAAGUCUUUCUACAAAUUUGGCCAAGACGAGCCAAAAGACUGGCCUUUUUCACAAAAGAAAAGAAAAAC
RNAcentral lists this unclassified non-coding RNA (2314 nucleotides) under Acanthaster planci (crown-of-thorns starfish). RNAcentral describes it as "cD97 antigen-like, transcript variant X2". The record is from RNAcentral. Lineage: Eukaryota; Metazoa; Echinodermata; Asteroidea; Valvatida; Acanthasteridae.